GACGAACGCUGGCGGCGUGCCUAAUACAUGCAAGUAGAACGCUGAAGGAGGAGCUUGCUUCUCUGGAUGAGUUGCGAACGGGUGAGUAACGCGUAGGUAACCUGCCUGGUAGCGGGGGAUAACUAUUGGAAACGAUAGCUAAUACCGCAUAAGAGUAGAUGUUGCAUGACAUUUGCUUAAAAGGUGCAAUUGCAUCACUACCAGAUGGACCUGCGUUGUAUUAGCUAGUUGGUGGGGUAACGGCUCACCAAGGCGACGAUACAUAGCCGACCUGAGAGGGUGAUCGGCCACACUGCGACUGAGACACGGCCCAGACUCCUACGGGAGGCAGCAGUAGGGAAUCUUCGGCAAUGGACGGAAGUCUGACCGAGCAACGCCGCGUGAGUGAAGAAGGUUUUCGGAUCGUAAAGCUCUGUUGUAAGAGAAGAACGAGUGUGAGAGUGGAAAGUUCACACUGUGACGGUAUCUUACCAGAAAGGGACGGCUAACUACGUG
Molecule: ribosomal RNA, 495 nt
Filed under: uncultured bacterium
Lineage: Bacteria
Description: partial 16S ribosomal RNA
Rfam family: Bacterial small subunit ribosomal RNA
Source: RNAcentral